RNAcentral lists this ribosomal RNA (397 nucleotides) under uncultured bacterium. RNAcentral describes it as "bacterial SSU rRNA". It matches the Rfam family "Bacterial small subunit ribosomal RNA", at positions 362 to 776 of the family's 1533-position model. The record is from RNAcentral.
UAUUGCACAAUGGGGGGAACCCUGAUGCAGCGACGCCGCGUGAGUGAAGAAGUAUUUCGGUAUGUAAAGCUCUAUCAGCAGGGAAGAUCAUGACGGUACCUGACUAAGAAGCUCCGGCUAAAUACGUGCCAGCAGCCGCGGUAAUACGUAUGGAGCAAGCGUUAUCCGGAUUUACUGGGUGUAAAGGGAGCGCAGACGGUCAUGCAAGUCUGAUGUGAAAGCCCGGGGCCCAACCCCGGGACUGCAUUGGAAACUGUAAGACUGGAGUGCAGGAGGGGCAGGCGGAAUUCCUAGUGUAGCGGUGAAAUGCGUGGAUAUUAGGAGGAACACCGGUGGCGAAGGCGGCCUGCUGGACUGUAACUGACGUUGAGGCUCGAAAGCGUGGGGAGCAAACAGG